RNAcentral lists this ribosomal RNA (289 nucleotides) under uncultured bacterium. RNAcentral describes it as "partial 16S ribosomal RNA". The record is from RNAcentral.
CUACAAGGGUAUCUAAUCCUGUUUGCUCCCCAAACUGUCGUCCCUCAUCGUCAAGUAUUCUAUAGUUAGCUGCUUUCGCUUUCGGCGUUCCUUCCGAUAUCAACGCAUUUCACCGCUCCACCGGAAAUUCCACUAACCCCUAGAUACUUCCAGAAUUGCAGUAUCCAUUCCCUUUCUACGAUUGAGUCGUAGGAUUUGAAAACAGACUUACAAUUCAGACUACGGACACUUUACGCCCAGUAAAUCCGGAUAACGCUUGAGACCUACGUAUUACCGCGGCUGCUGGCAC